CUUAAUUUCUUAAAUUUUUAAUUUUAACUACUACCAUCAUUCUAUUAAUUAUUAUUUAAAUAAUCAAAAUUUCAUACUAAAAUUUGUAUGUAAAAUAAACUUAAAAUAAAUUUUUUAAAACAUAAUUAUUUUAUU
This 135-nucleotide ribosomal RNA is filed under the name Coenonympha glycerion. RNAcentral's name for it is "partial 12S ribosomal RNA". The record is from RNAcentral. Lineage: Eukaryota; Metazoa; Arthropoda; Insecta; Lepidoptera; Nymphalidae.